UGAAUUUUUGUGUGAAUUCUUAAAAGAAUUCAGAAGUUCUGAUUGAUUGAUUUAAAAAAAGGUUAGAGCUCUACAAGGAUCUUCCUGGCUUCUCAGCUAGCACUAAAUCACCUGAGCAGCUAGUUGGUAUCCAUUACUGGAAGCAGAGCAACAAUGACAACAGCAGAGACAAUAGUUAACCAACCAAUAGAGAAAAAGUAGCUCUUAGAGAGAGGAAACCCUGGAAAGAAAGAGUCCAUUCACAUGGAUCAGGCUAGGCUCAGUGGAGCCAAGUCUACUUUCUCUAUAAACCCAUUUGGGACUGGCAUGCUAGGGACCAAGUACAGGCAUCCCUCAGAGAUACUGUGAAUUUGGUUCCAGAUUGCUGCAAUAAAGUGAAUUUUGCAAUAAACUCUGCCCCCAAAUAAAGACUUUCAUCCGGAGCUGGCA
Molecule: long non-coding RNA, 429 nt
Filed under: Monodelphis domestica (gray short-tailed opossum)
Lineage: Eukaryota; Metazoa; Chordata; Mammalia; Didelphimorphia; Didelphidae
Description: lncRNA (ENSMODG00000035018.2)
Source: RNAcentral